CGAAGGGGGCUAGCGUUGCUCGGAAUCACUGGGCGUAAAGGGCGCGUAGGCGGCCUGAUAAGUCGGGGGUGAAAGCCUGUGGCUCAACCACAGAAUUGCCUUCGAUACUGUUAGGCUUGAGUAUGGUAGAGGUUGGUGGAACUGCGAGUGUAGAGGUGAAAUUCGUAGAUAUUCGCAAGAACACCGGUGGCGAAGGCGGCCAACUGGACCAUUACUGACGCUGAGGCGCGAAAGCGUGGGGAGCAAACAGGAUUAAAUACCCUGGUAGUCCACGCCGUAAACGAUGAAUGCCAGCUGUUGGGGUGCUUGCACCUCAGUAGCGCAGCUAACGCAUUAAGUAUUCCGCCUGGGGAGUACGGUCGCAAGAUUA
RNAcentral lists this ribosomal RNA (370 nucleotides) under uncultured organism. RNAcentral's name for it is "bacterial SSU rRNA". It matches the Rfam family "Bacterial small subunit ribosomal RNA", at positions 526 to 896 of the family's 1533-position model. The record is from RNAcentral.